CAAAGUCCAAGGGUUCCUGCGCAAGGGUAAUCCGCGCAGGGUUAGCCGGCCCCUAAGGCGAGGACGAAAGUCGUAGUCGAUGGGAAUCAGGUAAAUAUUCCUGAGCCAGCUGGUAGUGACGAAGGCCGAAAGGUGUUUCCUCUUAUUGGAUUGAGAGAAGCGCCCUGGGACUUCCAGGAAAUAGCUCCAGCAAUGGACCGUACCCGAAACCGACACUGGUGGACGAGUAGAGUAUACUCAGGCGCUUGAGAGAAUGAUGUUGAAGGAACUCGGCAAAUUGACCUCGUAACUUCGGGAGAAGAGGUACCUUAUCGAGGGCAACCUUGGUAAGGUGACACAAACUAGGGGGUAGCGACUGUUUACCUAAAACACAGGACUAUGCAAAGACGAAAGUCGACGUAUAUGGUCUGACGCCUGCCCGGUGCUGGAAGGUUAAAAGGAGAAGUGCAAGCUUUGAAUUGAAGCCCCAGUAAACGGCGGCCGUAACAGUAACGGUCCUAAGGUAGCGAAAUUCCUUGUCGGGUAAGUUCCGACCUGCACGAAUGGCGUAACGACUUCCCCGCUGUCUCCAACAUCAACUCAGUGAAAUUGAAUUCUCCGUGAAGAUGCGGAGUACCCGCGGUCAGACGGAAAGACCCCGUGCACCUUUACUACAGCUUUGCAGUGGUAUUAGGAACAUCAUGUGUAGGAUAGGUGGGAGCCUUUGAAGCUUUGGCGCUAGCCAGAGUGGAGGCAACCUUGAAAUACCACCCUUGAUGGUCUUCAUAUCUAACCGAGAUCUGUGAUCCAGAUCCGGGACCCUGCAUGGUGGGUAGUUUGACUGGGGCGGUCGCCUCCCAAAGAGUAACGGAGGCGCGCGAAGGUGAGCUCAAGCUGGUCGGAAAUCAGCUGUGGAGUGCAAUGGCAUAAGCUCGCCUGACUGUAAGAUCGACAGAUCAAACAGAGACGAAAGUCGGUCAUAGUGAUCCGGUGGUCCCUCGUGGAAGGGCCAUCGCUCAACGAAUAAAAGGUACGCCGGGGAUAACAGGCUGAUCUCCCCCAAGAGUCCACAUCGACGGGGAGGUUUGGCACCUCGAUGUCGGCUCAUCACAUCCUGGGGCUGAAGCAGGUCCCAAGGGUUUGGCUGUUCGCCAAUUAAAGUGGUACGUGAGCUGGGUUCAGAACGUCGUGAGACAGUUCGGUCCCUAUCUGCCGUGGGUGUAUAAGAAUUGAGAGGAUCUGUCCCUAGUACGAGAGGACCGGGAUGGACGUACCUCUGGUGUACCAGUUGUGGCGCCUGCUGCAGCGCUGGGUAGCUAUGUACGGACGGGAUAACCGCUGAAAGCAUCUAAGCGGGAAACCCACCUCAAAACUAGUUCUUGCUAAGAGCCGUGGUAGACCACCACGUUGAUAGGCCGGGUGUGGAAGAGGCGUAAGUCUUGAAGCUAACCGGUACUAAUCGCUCA
Molecule: ribosomal RNA, 1445 nt
Filed under: metagenome
Description: bacterial LSU rRNA
Rfam family: Bacterial large subunit ribosomal RNA
Source: RNAcentral